This 497-nucleotide ribosomal RNA is filed under the name uncultured bacterium. Its description in RNAcentral is "partial 16S ribosomal RNA". It matches the Rfam family "Bacterial small subunit ribosomal RNA", at positions 28 to 507 of the family's 1533-position model. The record is from RNAcentral.
GAUGAACGCUGGCGGCGUGCCUAAUACAUGCAAGUCGAGCGAACGGACGAGAAGCUUGCUUCUCUGAUGUUAGCGGCGGACGGGUAAGUAACACGUGGAUAACCUACCUAUAAGACUGGGAUAACUUCGGGAAACCGGAGCUAAUACCGGAUAAUAUUUUGAACCGCAUGGUUCAAAAGUGAAAGACGGUCUUGCUGUCACUUAUAGAUGGAUCCGCGCUGCAUUAGCUAGUUGGUAAGGUAACGGCUUACCAAGGCAACGAUGCAUAACCGACCUGAGAGGGUGAUCGGCCACACUGGAACUGAGACACGGUCCAGACUCCUACGGGAGGCAGCAGUAGGGAAUCUUCCGCAAUGGGCGAAAGCCUGACGGAGCAACGCCGCGUGAGUGAUGAAGGUCUUCGGAUCGUAAAACUCUGUUAUUAGGGAAGAACAUAUGUGUAAGUAACUGUGCACAUCUUGACGGUACCUAAUCAGAAAGCCACGGCUAACUACGUG